AUUUCUUGUGAACGUGUUAAUCUAGCUCGGGUAUUUACAACUUUUACCCGCUUGAGUGUUUCAAAAGGACAUACAUAGGAUUUAUACAAACUGGAAUGGAUAAAGCAGCCAAAAAUUAAGUUUCUGGAGUGUGUCAGAACUCAGCAGGAAGCGACGUGCAGUUUUUUGCUGGCGCUGUACCAUCUGCUCUCUCCACAGGUGACUGCAGUUGACUGGUGGGCGGGGCGCACAGACAUACGACUCGUUCUGCGAGUCAGUGCGGGAGCAUAAGAACAGCGCUCAGACGGCUGGAGGAUCCCAGAGUGUUCACCUCAGUGGUUUUCUCGUGCUUCGAAUCCCGCUCCAAGGGUUCCUACGUGCUCUGGCGUUCUCAAGACGAGCCUACAGGCUCAUCCUGUCCUGGAUUUCUCUCUGGGUUUAUCCCCGUGUCCCUUGGUCGUACCAAGCUGGGCUUUAUUCACCUGGUUCCUCCAGCUGUCCCAAGGCAGCGCUGAGUUCUCUCCUCCGCUCCACUCCCCCCGGUCCGGUUUCCGUGCUCUGUGACUGAACGUAUCCUGGCCCCGUCCCUCUUUGGGCUCAGAUCCGUUGUGACUCUGCCUUUUGUCUUGC
Fundulus heteroclitus (mummichog) is the source of this 609-nucleotide long non-coding RNA. RefSeq lists it as uncharacterized. The record is from RefSeq and is a predicted model, not a curated record. The transcript has 3 exons. Lineage: Eukaryota; Metazoa; Chordata; Actinopteri; Cyprinodontiformes; Fundulidae.